AGAAAUUUAGGUUAAAAAAACUUAAAGCCUUCAAAGCUUUAAAUAGAAGUUAAAUCUUCUAAUUUCUG
This 68-nucleotide transfer RNA is filed under the name Lepidosiren paradoxa (South American lungfish). RNAcentral's name for it is "tRNA-Trp". It matches the Rfam family "tRNA". Rfam says of the family: Transfer RNA (tRNA) molecules are approximately 80 nucleotides in length. Their secondary structure includes four short double-helical elements and three loops (D, anti-codon, and T loops). Further hydrogen bonds mediate the characteristic L-shaped molecular structure. tRNAs have two regions of fundamental functional importance: the anti-codon, which is responsible for specific mRNA codon recognition, and the 3' end, to which the tRNAs corresponding amino acid is attached (by aminoacyl-tRNA synthetases). tRNAs cope with the degeneracy of the genetic code in two manners: having more than one tRNA (with a specific anti-codon) for a particular amino acid; and 'wobble' base-pairing, i.e. permitting non-standard base-pairing at the 3rd anti-codon position. Lineage: Eukaryota; Metazoa; Chordata; Ceratodontiformes; Lepidosirenidae. The record is from RNAcentral.